This 115-nucleotide ribosomal RNA is filed under the name Danio rerio (zebrafish). The record is from RNAcentral. Lineage: Eukaryota; Metazoa; Chordata; Actinopteri; Cypriniformes; Danionidae.
GCCAGCAACUAGCUCUCUGCAACUCUCACAUGGUCGCCCACUGAAGCUAAGCAGGGCUGCGCCCGGUCAGUACAAGGAUGGGAGACCACAUGGGAAAGCUGGGUUGCUGUUGGAA